Long non-coding RNA from Coregonus clupeaformis (lake whitefish), 983 nucleotides. RefSeq lists it as uncharacterized. The transcript has 3 exons. The record is from RefSeq and is a predicted model, not a curated record. Lineage: Eukaryota; Metazoa; Chordata; Actinopteri; Salmoniformes; Salmonidae.
CUGCGUGUGGUGGAACUACACUUUGAAAGACUGGAGCACCUCUGGCUGCUCCAAAGUCAACCACUCAGAAGACGGCCUGCGAUGUUUCUGUAAUCACACCACUAACUUCGCUGUGCUUAUGUCAUUCAGGAGGGAUUUUAAAUACGCUGAAGUUCUAAACUGGAUCACCACAUUGGGAUGCUCCAUGUCCAUCAUAGGGUUGAGUUUAACAAUAACAUUCCAGAUCGCAACCUGGUAAGAUCCUAGAGGGUUCCAGAACCAAUUCAACCUAUACAAUAACAUUCCAGAUGGUGACCCGGUAAGAUCCUACAGGGUUCCAGAACCAAUUAAACAUAUACAAUAACAUUCCAGAUGGUGACCCGGUAAGAUCCUACAGGGUUCCAGAACCAAUUCUAAAUAUACAAUAACAUUCCAGAUCGUGACCCGGAAAGAUCCUACAGGGUUCCAGAACUAAUAAAACAUAUUGGGUGCAUCUCAAUAGUGUAAAGAAGCCCUUUGUCUGAUCCAACACGACUUGAUAGGUGAAAUCAAUAUGAAACCCACCAAUAAUGACCCAACACAUCCAUAGCUACGCAUCUAACUUCCCUAACAUAGUGUUGUCUAUCACCUAUCCCCAGGAAAUCACGCAAAACCAACCCAACUGUCCUCUUAGUGAGCGUCUGCGUGUGUCUCCUGAUCUUCACCCUCCUCUUCAUGUUGGGGGUGGACAACCCUCAUAAACAGCUGGAGAAACCUGAAAUACAGGAGGACAACAUUGUCCCCUCGUCCGACACACACACAGAGCGGGACAGAGGCCCCUGUACUGCAGUCACAGUCCUGCUGCAGUACUUCCUGUUGGGGACGUUCACCUGGAACACGCUGUACGCCACACAUGUCUUCCUGAUGAUCAGAAACAGCCUGGCCACCAGCCCGUCACACUUCACAGCCUAUACCGUGGCCAUCGGAUGGGGACUGCCUGCGGUUGUGGUGGCCCUCACAUUAGG